GAUGAAUGCUGGCGGCGUGCCUAGCACAUGCAAGUCGAGCGGCAGCGCGAGUAGUUUACUACUUGGCGGCGAGCGGCGGACGGCUGAGUAACGCGUGGGAACGUGCCCCAAAGUGAGGGAUAACGCACCGAAAGGUGUGCUAAUACCGCAUAUGGUCUUCGGAUUAAAGAAUUUAUUCGCUUUGGGAGCGGCCCGCGUCGGAUUAGGUAGUUGGUAGGGUAAUGGCCUACCAAGCCGACGAUCCGUAGCUGGUCUGAGAGGAUGAUCAGCCAGACUGGAACUGAGACACGGUCCAGACUCCUACGGGAGGCAGCAGUGAGGAAUCUUCCACAAUGGGCGAAAGCCUGAUGGAGCAACGCCGCGUGCAGGAUGAAGGCCUUCGGGUUGUAAACUGCUUUUAUAAGUGAAGAAUAUGACGGUAACUUAUGAAUAAGCACCGGCUAACUACGUGCCAGCCGCCGCGGUAA
This 467-nucleotide ribosomal RNA is filed under the name uncultured bacterium. Its description in RNAcentral is "partial 16S ribosomal RNA". It matches the Rfam family "Bacterial small subunit ribosomal RNA", at positions 28 to 523 of the family's 1533-position model. The record is from RNAcentral.